GAUGAACGCUGGCGGCGUGCUUAACACAUGCAAGUCGAACGAAGAUGCCGGAGUGCUUGCACUUUGGCAGACUGAGUGGCGGACGGGUGAGUAACGCGUGGGUAACCUGCCUUAUACAGGGGGAUAACAGUUGGAAACGACUGCUAAUACCGCAUAAGCGCACGGUAUCGCAUGAUACAGUGUGAAAAACUCCGGUGGUACAGGAUGGACCCGCGUCUGAUUAGCUAGUUGGUGAGGUAACGGCUUACCAAGGCAGCGAUCAGUAGCCGACUUGAGAGAGUGAUCGGCCACAUUGGGACUGAGACACGGCCCAAAACUCCUACGGGAGGCAGCAGUAGGGAAUAUUGCACAAUGGGGGAAACCCUGAUGCAGCGACGCCGCGUGAAGGAAGAAGUAUUUCGGUAUGUAAACUUCUAUCAGCAAGGAAGAAAAUGACGGUACUUGACUAAGAAGCCCCGGCUAAAUACGUG
Molecule: ribosomal RNA, 470 nt
Filed under: uncultured bacterium
Lineage: Bacteria
Description: bacterial SSU rRNA
Rfam family: Bacterial small subunit ribosomal RNA
Source: RNAcentral